Molecule: ribosomal RNA, 461 nt
Filed under: uncultured bacterium
Lineage: Bacteria
Description: partial 16S ribosomal RNA
Rfam family: Bacterial small subunit ribosomal RNA
Source: RNAcentral
GACGAACGCUGGCGGCGUGCUUAACACAUGCAAGUCGAACGGAAAGGCCCUUCGGGGUACUCGAGUGGCGAACGGGUGAGUAACACGUGGGUGAUCUGCCCUGCACUUUGGGAUAAGCCUGGGAAACUGGGUCUAAUACCGAAUAGGACCACGCGCUUCAUGGUGUGUGGUGGAAAGCUUUUGCGGAGUGGGAUGGGCCCGCGGCCUAUCAGCUUGUUGGUGGGGUAAUGGCCUACCAAGGCGACGACGGGUAGCCGGCCUGAGAGGGUGACCGGCCACAGUGGGACAGGGAUACGGCCCAGAGGCAUACGGGAGGAAGGAGUGGGGAAUAUUGCACAAUGGGCGCAGGCAGGAAGCAGGGACGCCGGGUGGGGAAUGACGGCCUUCGGGUAGUAAACCACUUGCACCAGGGACGGCGCGUAAGUGACGGUACCUGGAGAAGAAGCACGGGCAAACUACGU